Molecule: ribosomal RNA, 1319 nt
Filed under: metagenome
Description: bacterial SSU rRNA
Rfam family: Bacterial small subunit ribosomal RNA
Source: RNAcentral
AGAGUUUGAUCCUGGCUCAGGAUGAACGCUGGCGGCGUGCUUAACACAUGCAAGUCGAACGAACCUUCGGGUUAGUGGCGGACGGGUGAGUAACGCGUGGGAAUCUGCCCUCAGGAGGGGGAUAACGGCUGGAAACGGCCGCUAAUACCCCAUAUGCCGAGAGGUGAAAGGAAAUUCGCCUGAGGAUGAGCCCGCGUCUGAUUAGCUAGUUGGUGGGGUAAGAGCUCACCAAGGCGACGAUCAGUAGCUGGUCUGAGAGGAUGAUCAGCCACACUGGGACUGAGACACGGCCCAGACUCCUACGGGAGGCAGCAGUGGGGAAUUUUCCGCAAUGGGCGAAAGCCUGACGGAGCAACGCCGCGUGAGGGAUGAAGGCCUCUGGGCUGUAAACCUCUUUUCUCAAGGAAGAAGACAUGACGGUACUUGAGGAAUAAGCCACGGCUAAUUCCGUGCCAGCAGCCGCGGUAAUACGGGAGUGGCAAGCGUUAUCCGGAAUUAUUGGGCGUAAAGCGUCCGCAGGCGGCCCUGUAAGUCUGUCGUUAAAGCGUGGAGCUUAACUCCAUUUAAGCGAUGGAAACUACAGGGCUUGAGUGUGGUAGGGGCAGAGGGAAUUCCCGGUGUAGCGGUGAAAUGCGUAGAUAUCGGGAAGAACACCAGUGGCGAAGGCGCUCUGCUGGGCCAUAACUGACGCUCAUGGACGAAAGCCAGGGGAGCGAAAGGGAUUAGAUACCCCUGUAGUCCUGGCCGUAAACGAUGAACACUAGGUGUCGGGGGAAUCGACCCCCUCGGUGUCGUAGCCAACGCGUUAAGUGUUCCGCCUGGGGAGUACGCACGCAAGUGUGAAACUCAAAGGAAUUGACGGGGGCCCGCACAAGCGGUGGAGUAUGUGGUUUAAUUCGAUGCAACGCGAAGAACCUUACCAGGGUUUGACAUCCUGCGAAUCCCUUGGAAACGAGGGAGUGCCUUCGGGAGCGCAGAGACAGGUGGUGCAUGGCUGUCGUCAGCUCGUGUCGUGAGAUGUUGGGUUAAGUCCCGCAACGAGCGCAACCCACGUCUUUAGUUGCCAGCAUUCAGUUGGGCACUCUAGAGAGACCGCCGGUGAUAAACCGGAGGAAGGUGUGGAUGACGUCAAGUCAUCAUGCCCCUUACAUCCUGGGCUACACACGUACUACAAUGCUACGGACAAAGGGCAGCAAGCUCGCGAGAGUUAGCAAAUCCCAUAAACCGUAGCUCAGUUCAGAUCGUAGGCUGCAACUCGCCUACGUGAAGGAGGAAUCGCUAGUAAUCGCAGGUCAGCAUACUGCGGUGAAUACGUUCCC